RNAcentral lists this transfer-messenger RNA (367 nucleotides) under Dermatophilaceae. RNAcentral describes it as "Humibacillus xanthopallidus_A Standard tmRNA". It matches the Rfam family "transfer-messenger RNA". Rfam says of the family: Bacterial tmRNA, also known as 10Sa RNA or SsrA, is named for its dual tRNA and mRNA-like properties. Lineage: Bacteria; Bacillati; Actinomycetota; Actinomycetes; Micrococcales. RNAcentral also lists the same sequence under 1 other name. The record is from RNAcentral.
GGGGGUGAUCGGUUUCGACGGUGGUCGACACACCAGAGGAAGCGGGUCGAGGAUGUGGGGUUAUCUCGUUAACGCUCCCUGCAAAACAAUAGGUGCCGAUUCCAAGCGCACCGACUUCGCCCUCGCCGCCUGAGCGAGCCUCGAAGUCCGUCAGCCUGAGCUAGUUCCCGACUCAGUGCCUGGCGUCAGCUAGGGGACUUGCUGUGCAGUCAUGUCGAGGGGCUGCGCGGGACUCUUACUCGACUGGGCCUGUCAGGGGACGUGUGCGUGCGAGCCCUGGGGCCGAGAAAAGCCAUAGCGCACUGCACCCGGAGAAGCUCUGGUCUCUCGUCAUCGGACGCGGGUUCAAUUCCCGCCACCUCCACCA